Molecule: ribosomal RNA, 203 nt
Filed under: uncultured bacterium
Lineage: Bacteria
Description: partial 16S ribosomal RNA
Rfam family: Bacterial small subunit ribosomal RNA
Source: RNAcentral
ACGCUCGACACCUACUGGAGGCAGCAGUGGGGAAUAUUGCACAAUGGGGGAAACCCUGAUGCAGCGACGCCGCGUGGAGGAAGAAGGUCUUCGGAUUGUAAACUCCUGUUGUUGGGGAAAAAGAGGAUGGUACCCAACAAGGAAGUGACGGCUAACUACGUGCCAGCACGCCGACGGUAAUCUGAGGCGGGCGUGGCGAAGGC